AACCCGGUGAUCUAGCCAUGGGCAGGUUGAAGGUUGGGUAACACUAACUGGAGGACCGAACCGACUAAUGUUGAAAAAUUAGCGGAUGACCUGUGGCUGGGGGUGAAAGGCCAAUCAAACCGGGAGAUAGCUGGUUCUCCCCGAAAGCUAUUUAGGUAGCGCCUCGUGAACUCAUCUCCGGGGGUAGAGCACUGUUUCGGCUAGGGGGCCAUCCCGGCUUACCAACCCGAUGCAAACUGCGAAUACCGGAGAAUGUUAUCACGGGAGACACACGGCGGGUGCUAACGUCCGUCGUGAAGAGGGAAACAACCCAGACCGCCAGCUAAGGUCCCAAAGUCAUGGUUAAGUGGGAAACGAUGUGGGAAGGCCCAGACAGCCAGGAUGUUGGCUUAGAAGCAGCCAUCAUUUAAAGAAAGCGUAAUAGCUCACUGGUCGAGUCGGCCUGCGCGGAAGAUGUAACGGGGCUAAACCAUGCACCGAAGCUGCGGCAGCGACACUUUAGUGUUGUUGGGUAGGGGAGCGUUCUGUAAGCCGUUGAAGGUGUCCUGUGAGGGGUGCUGGAGGUAUCAGAAGUGCGAAUGCUGACAUAAGUAACGAUAAAGCGGGUGAAAAGCCCGCUCGCCGGAAGACCAAGGGUUCCUGUCCAACGUUAAUCGGGGCAGGGUGAGUCGACCCCUAAGGCGAGGCCGAAAGGCGUAGUCGAUGGGAAACGGGUUAAUAUUCCCGUACUUGGUGUUACUGCGAAGGGGGGACGGAGAAGGCUAUGUUGGCCGGGCGACGGUUGUCCCGGUUUAAGCGUGUAGGUGUGUGUUCCAGGUAAAUCCGGUUCACUUUAACACUGAGGCGUGAUGACGAGGCACCACGGUGCUGAAGCAACAAAUGCCCUGCUUCCAGGAAAAGCCUCUAAGCAUCAGGUAACAUCAAAUCGUACCCCAAACCGACACAGGUGGUCAGGUAGAGAAUACCAAGGCGCUUGAGAGAACUCGGGUGAAGGAACUAGGCAAAAUGGUGCCGUAACUUCGGGAGAAGGCACGCUGACACGUAGGUGAAGUGAUUUACUCAUGGAGCUGAAGUCAGUCGAAGAUACCAGCUGGCUGCAACUGUUUAUUAAAAACACAGCACUGUGCAAACACGAAAGUGGACGUAUACGGUGUGACGCCUGCCCGGUGCCGGAAGGUUAAUUGAUGGGGUCAGCGCAAGCGAAGCUCCUGAUCGAAGCCCCGGUAAACGGCGGCCGUAACUAUAACGGUCCUAAGGUAGCGAAAUUCCUUGUCGGGUAAGUUCCGACCUGCACGAAUGGCGUAAUGAUGGCCAGGCUGUCUCCACCCGAGACUCAGUGAAAUUGAACUCGCUGUGAAGAUGCAGUGUACCCGCGGCAAGACGGAAAGACCCCGUGAACCUUUACUAUAGCUUGACACUGAACAUUGAGCCUUGAUGUGUAGGAUAGGUGGGAGGCUUUGAAGCGUGGACGCCAGUCUGCGUGGAGCCGACCUUGAAAUACCACCCUUUAAUGUUUGAUGUUCUAACGUGGACCCGUAAUCCGGGUUGCGGACAGUGUCUGGUGGGUAGUUUGACUGGGGCGGUCUCCUCCUAAAGAGUAACGGAGGAGCACGAAGGUUGGCUAAUCCUGGUCGGACAUCAGGAGGUUAGUGCAAUGGCAUAAGCCAGCUUGACUGCGAGCGUGACGGCGCGAGCAGGUGCGAAAGCAGGUCAUAGUGAUCCGGUGGUUCUGAAUGGAAGGGCCAUCGCUCAACGGAUAAAAGGUACUCCGGGGAUAACAGGCUGAUACCGCCCAAGAGUUCAUAUCGACGGCGGUGUUUGGCACCUCGAUGUCGGCUCAUCACAUCCUGGGGCUGAAGUAGGUCCCAAGGGUAUGGCUGUUCGCCAUUUAAAGUGGUACGCGAGCUGGGUUUAGAACGUCGUG
This 1924-nucleotide ribosomal RNA is filed under the name Salmonella enterica. Its description in RNAcentral is "partial 23S ribosomal RNA". It matches the Rfam family "Bacterial large subunit ribosomal RNA", at positions 719 to 2623 of the family's 2925-position model. The record is from RNAcentral. Lineage: Bacteria; Pseudomonadati; Pseudomonadota; Gammaproteobacteria; Enterobacterales; Enterobacteriaceae.